GGCAGAGUCGUGGCGUGGCGGUGGCUGCAGCGGCGAGUAGGGUGGAGCGUAGGGUGGCGCGGUGAAGGCGGCGCGGAGGGUCGCGGCGCGGAGAUGCUCUCUCAGAGGUUGGGAGGCGCCGUGGGUAAGGUCGUUCGUAGCGU
RNAcentral lists this non-coding RNA (143 nucleotides) under Thraustochytrium sp. LLF1b. Lineage: Eukaryota; Bigyra; Thraustochytrida; Thraustochytriidae. The record is from RNAcentral.